Molecule: long non-coding RNA, 1291 nt
Organism: Oreochromis aureus
Lineage: Eukaryota; Metazoa; Chordata; Actinopteri; Cichliformes; Cichlidae
Exons: 2
Source: RefSeq, a predicted model, not a curated record
GUGGAGACCAUGCAUGACUUUGAGGCUGCAAAUUCAGAUGAACUUGACCUGAAGAGAGGCGAUGUGGUUUUGGUGGUUCCCACUGCCUCAGCGGAAGAUCAGGAUGCCGGCUGGCUCACAGGGAUCAAGGAAAGCGACUGGUUAACAUUUGGAGCUGGUGCUCAAAAAGGACUUUUCCCAGAAAACUUUACUCAACAUUUGGAGUAAGAUGUUCCCUGACAUAGCAAAAUGACAAGUAGAAACAUGAGGAAUCUGUGUCCCAGCCAUUGAAUCAGCAUGUAGCCAUUCCCUUUCUUGUAAGUUUUACCUGCUGCAACUGUCUGCUGGACAACAAUAAAGUUUCACUGGCAGGUGAAACUGUACUAAAAUGAAAUGUUAUUGUUUAAAAAAAAGAAAAAAAGAAGAGAGAGAGUAGUACUCUUCCCAGUUCCCCUGAUGAUUUAAGCAUGGUGUGGUAGUAUGUUCCACCCUCCUGUGGAAGUAAGAUAUGCCUUUUGUUUAAAUAGAAAAAUCAUAUAUAAAACAAUAAUAACUCGACAACAAAAAGCUUGAAGUGAUUUCAGGUGAAAACAAAGGAAAAAGAUAAACUGUCUUUGCAGUAAGUGUGUGGUAAUCAUUUUGUUUUGCUAUGAAAGGCUACAGAAACUUCAAUGCUGUGAUUGUCUUUUUGAGUGCAACAUGAAACUUGGGUUUCUUUUUUCUGACACGUUGUAACUGUAACUCUUGAAUCACUGUUGAUGUUUUCUGUGUUAUCAUUAUUGGGUGUGUGGUGAUUGAUGAAUUAACUCACUGGCCAGUGUUGCUUUGGUUCUGCUAAGGGGAUACUGAUGUUUAUUGUCUGGGUUUUGGCACACAAAGUAGUGCAAAUGCUGCAUGAAAAUCCUAAAUAUUCAAAGUACAUAUACUAAAGAUGACAAAUAAAGAAUUACUUGUGUGUUAAGCAUAGAUUUGUGUAUGGCAUAUCAUCUGAAAAUUUGGUUACAAGGAAAAAAAAAAUCAAAUAAGGAAAGUUUUUGUCAGCGGUUUAAGUGUUUCAUCAAAUAGAAGGUAUUAACAAACCAGUCUGAAAUUAUUUUUUUAGGCUUCAGAAAAAUUACUCUUAUACUCCAGAAAAUUUAAACCUUCAUCAAACUAGUUUUGAUAGCCAGGUGAAGCCUCCCAGUAGACCUUUAUCUGAUGCACACAGCCUUGAGAUAAUAUUGGUGUAAUGAAUUCAAUAGUAAAUUCCAUGUUUGAUAUUGUAUAUGGUUCUAUGCUAAUAAAAUAAAUAAUAAAACAUUGUUUCAAUCAA